GCCUUUAUAGCUUAACGGUAGAGCAUAAUACUGUUAAUAUUAUGAUAGAGGUUUGAUUUCUCUUAAGGGCU
This is a non-coding RNA of Colletotrichum tofieldiae, 71 nucleotides long. NCBI's taxonomy places the organism in Eukaryota, Fungi, Ascomycota, Sordariomycetes, Glomerellales, Glomerellaceae. The record is from the annotation of a GenBank genome assembly.